UCGAGGAUCUUCGGCAAUGGGCGCAAGCCUGACCGAGCGACGCCGCGUGCGCGAUGAAGGCCUUUGGGUUGUAAAGCGCUGUCGAGGGGGAGGAAAGCCCGCAAGGGCCUGACCUAUCCCUGGAGGAAGCACGGGCUAAGUUCGUGCCAGCAGCCGCGGUAAGACGAACCGUGCGAACGUUGUUCGGAUUCACUGGGCUUAAAGGGCGCGUAGGCGGCGAUUCAAGUCCGGGGUGAAAGCUUUCGGCUCAACCGGAAAAGUGCCUUGGAUACUGGAUCGCUCGAGGGGGGUAGGGGCAGGCGGAACUUCCGGUGGAGCGGUGAAAUGCGUAGAUAUCGGAAGGAACGCCGGUGGCGAAAGCGGCCUGCUGGACCCCCCCUGACGCUGAGGCGCGAAAGCCAGGGGAGCAAACGG
Molecule: ribosomal RNA, 414 nt
Filed under: uncultured bacterium
Lineage: Bacteria
Description: bacterial SSU rRNA
Rfam family: Bacterial small subunit ribosomal RNA
Source: RNAcentral